This 45-nucleotide non-coding RNA is filed under the name Echinostoma caproni. Lineage: Eukaryota; Metazoa; Platyhelminthes; Trematoda; Plagiorchiida; Echinostomatidae. The record is from RNAcentral.
GCACCGCUGAGGAGCCCCAAACAGGACGAAACAGCUGUCCAGUGC